CCUACGGGUGGCAGCAGUGGGGGAUAUUGCACAAUGGGGGGAACCCUGAUGCAGCGACGCCGCGUGUGGGAAGACGGUCCUCUGGAUUGUAAACCACUGUCCCCAGGGACGAAAAUGACGGUACCUGGGGAGGAAGCUCCGGCUAACUACGUGCCAGCAGCCGCGGUAAUACGUAGGGAGCCAGCGUUGUCCGGAAUUACUGUGUGUAAAGGGAGCGUAGGCGGGGAUGCAAGUUGGGGGUCAAAACUACCGGCUCAACUGGUAGUCGCACUCAAAACUGCAGCUCUUGAGUGAAGUAGAGGGAGGCGGAAUUCCUAGUGUAGCGGUGAAAUGCGUAGAUAUUAGGAGGAACACCAGUGGCGAAGGCGGCCUGCUGGGCUUUUACUGACGCUGAGGCUCGAAAGUGUGGGGAGCAAACAGGAUUAGAUACCCCUGUAGUC
This 440-nucleotide ribosomal RNA is filed under the name uncultured bacterium. Its description in RNAcentral is "partial 16S ribosomal RNA". It matches the Rfam family "Bacterial small subunit ribosomal RNA", at positions 338 to 795 of the family's 1533-position model. The record is from RNAcentral.